GGUCCUUUGGCUCAGUUGGUUAGGGCUGCCGGCUCAUAACUGAUUGGCCGUUGGUUCAAGCCCAGCAAGGGCCACCA
Molecule: transfer RNA, 77 nt
Filed under: Salmonella enterica
Lineage: Bacteria; Pseudomonadati; Pseudomonadota; Gammaproteobacteria; Enterobacterales; Enterobacteriaceae
Description: tRNA-Ile
Rfam family: tRNA
About the family: Transfer RNA (tRNA) molecules are approximately 80 nucleotides in length. Their secondary structure includes four short double-helical elements and three loops (D, anti-codon, and T loops). Further hydrogen bonds mediate the characteristic L-shaped molecular structure. tRNAs have two regions of fundamental functional importance: the anti-codon, which is responsible for specific mRNA codon recognition, and the 3' end, to which the tRNAs corresponding amino acid is attached (by aminoacyl-tRNA synthetases). tRNAs cope with the degeneracy of the genetic code in two manners: having more than one tRNA (with a specific anti-codon) for a particular amino acid; and 'wobble' base-pairing, i.e. permitting non-standard base-pairing at the 3rd anti-codon position.
Source: RNAcentral